RNAcentral lists this ribosomal RNA (253 nucleotides) under uncultured bacterium. RNAcentral describes it as "partial 16S ribosomal RNA". It matches the Rfam family "Bacterial small subunit ribosomal RNA", at positions 524 to 776 of the family's 1533-position model. The record is from RNAcentral.
UACGUAGGGGGCGAGCGUUGUCCGAAGUUACUGGGCGUAAAGCGCGCGUAGGCGGUCCGGUAAGUCCGCUGUGAAAGUCGGGGGCUCAACCCUCGAAUGCCGGUGGAUACUGUCGGGCUAGAGUGCGGAAGAGGCGAGUGGAAUUCCUGGUGUAGCGGUGAAAUGCGCAGAUAUCAGGAGGAACACCUAUUGCGAAGGCAGCUCGCUGGGACGUAACUGACGCUGAGACGCGAAAGCGUGGGGAGCAAACAGG